UACGUAGGGUGCGAGCGUUAAUCGGAAUUACUGGGCGUAAAGCGUGCGCAGGCGGUUUUGUAAGACAGAUGUGAAAUCCCCGGGCUUAACCUGGGAACUGCAUUUGUGACUGCAAGACUAGAGUGCGGCAGAGGGGGGUUGAAUUCCACGUGUAGCGGUGAAAUGCGUAGAUAUGUGGAGGAAUACCGAUGGCGAAGGCAGCCCCCUGGGUCGCCACUGCCGCUCAUGCGCGAAAGCGUGGGGAGCAAACAGU
RNAcentral lists this ribosomal RNA (253 nucleotides) under uncultured bacterium. RNAcentral's name for it is "partial 16S ribosomal RNA". It matches the Rfam family "Bacterial small subunit ribosomal RNA", at positions 524 to 776 of the family's 1533-position model. The record is from RNAcentral.